GAUGAACGCUGGCGGCGUGCCUAAUACAUGCAAGUCGAGCGAACAGACGAGGAGCUUGCUCCUCUGACGUUAGCGGCGGACGGGUGAGUAACACGUGGAUAACCUACCUAUAAGACUGGGAUAACUUCGGGAAACCGGAGCUAAUACCGGAUAAUAUAUUGAACCGCAUGGUUCAAUAGUGAAAGACGGUUUUGCUGUCACUUAUAGAUGGAUCCGCGCCGCAUUAGCUAGUUGGUAAGGUAACGGCUUACCAAGGCGACGAUGCGUAGCCGACCUGAGAGGGUGAUCGGCCACACUGGAACUGAGACACGGUCCAGACUCCUACGGGAGGCAGCAGUAGGGAAUCUUCCGCAAUGGGCGAAAGCUUGACGGAGCAACGCCGCGUGAGUGAUGAAGGUCUUCGGAUCGUAAAACUCUGUUAUUAGGGAAGAACAAAUGUGUAAGUAACUAUGCACGUCCUGACGGUACCUAAUCAGAAAGCCACGGCUAACUACGUG
Molecule: ribosomal RNA, 497 nt
Filed under: uncultured bacterium
Lineage: Bacteria
Description: partial 16S ribosomal RNA
Rfam family: Bacterial small subunit ribosomal RNA
Source: RNAcentral